Long non-coding RNA from Drosophila simulans, 2116 nucleotides. RefSeq lists it as uncharacterized. NCBI's taxonomy places the organism in Eukaryota, Metazoa, Arthropoda, Insecta, Diptera, Drosophilidae. The transcript is spliced from 2 exons. The record is from RefSeq and is a predicted model, not a curated record.
UAGAACAUUGGCUUGCAGAUUGGCGCAUACGAGUAAAUAAAGAAAAGAGCAAACAGGUAAGAUUUACCCUAAACAAACAAAGCUGUCCGCCCUUGGUAAUGACCCACACGCGCAUCCCACAAGCCGAUAACGUAACAUACUUAGGUAUUCAUCUGGACAAGCGGCUCACUUGGCAGAAACACAUAGAGGCCAAGACGACGCACCUCAGUCUAAAAGCAAGCGAUCUACACUGGUUUAUAAACGUUUGCUCUCCACUAGGCUUGGAGUACAAAGUCCUCUUAUAUAACUCCGUUUUAAAACCCAUAUGGACCUAUGGCUCCGAGCUAUGGGGCAACGCAUCGAUAAGCAACAUAGACAUAAUACAGCGAGCACAGUCUAGGAUUCUGAGAAUCAUUGCUGGAGCUCCAUGGUAUCUUCGGAACGAGAAUAUACACAGAGACUUACAAAUAAAACUUGUCAUUGAGACAAUAGCAGAGAAGAAAGUAAAAUACAAUGAAUAACUAGCCUCACAUCCAAAUCCUCUUGCAGGAAAACUUAUUCGAGUAUGCAGCCAAAGCCGACUGCACCGGAACGACCAACCAGCCCAGCGUUAAAUUUGUUAGGCCACACAGCACGAAUCAUUUUAUAAAAUGAAACUGGAUACCAAUGUCAUGUAAGGGUCACUGUCUUUUGGAAAUAUUCUGACCGUUUCCCCUUGACUAGCUUGAUUAGCUUUAGUUUAGAAUAAGAUUUGAAAACUUAUUGUUAGUCUCUUAAGUAAAAGGGAAGAUUCAAUAAAUAAGCAAAACAUUGAAAAAAACAAGGUACGCGCCAGUUCGUAAACUAACUUUUCCCUAAAUACUCAUACCAAAAUCUGAAGACUAUCCCUACCGACCAUGAGGGUCUUCCGCAGCGCUUAACUACAGGGAAUAUUAGCCCUGAAGCACAAUGCGCCCACAGAUCCAAUUAACCAAUCACCAAAAGAGCACCCACGAGGAGGAGUCGAUCAUACAACUACACCCCCACAAACGUAUUUGAAGUUUAAGUACCAGAAGAACCGAUAUUAAAUUAAGCAGUUCAUCAUAAGAUUCUGUCUCUAGAACCUCAUCUUCAUAAUAUAGAAAAAGAGUCUCAGAUGUAGCGGUUUACACCUUAUCUAGUAGUUCUACGUCAAUUUCGAUUUGGAUCCUAAGGUCUGACUAUUAUGGUACGAGCCCCGUUACGGUACUGGUGCGAGCCCAUUUUUGCCGGCAGGGUUAACAGUUGUCCCCGCCUGUACGCCGAGACACCUUAUCGGCUACGUUCUUGUCUACAAAAUAAUAAAAGAUGGUGAUUAAGCCUUCCCUCAUAUUUUCGCCUUUGAACACCGUGAAUAUUGCACAGCUCUCUUCUUAGACGUUGGACAAGCAUUCGAUAGAGUAUGGCUGCAUGGACUUAUGUUUAAAAUAAUCAAACUGCUGCCUCAAAACAUACAUAAGCUUCUAAAGUCUUACCUAUAUAAAAGAGUGUUCGCGGUUAGAUGCAGUUCAAGCACUUCAAGCGAUUGUACUAUAGAAGCCGGAGUACUUCAAGGAAAUGUUCUGGGCCCAAUUCUAUACACACGGCGUACAUCCCAACAAACUACCAGAUAACGAUAUCCAAAUUCGCUGAAGACACUGCAAUACUAAGUCGAUCCAGAUGCCCAAUAAAACUACGAUGCAACUAGCACGCCAUCUAACUUGCGUAGAACAUUGGCUUGCAGAUUGGCGCAUACGAGUAAAUAAAGAAAAGAGCAAACAGCCGAUAACGUAACAUACUUAGGUAUUCAUCUGGACAAGCGGCUCACCUGGCAGAAACACAUAGAGGCCAAGACGACGCACCUCAGACUAUAAGCAAGCUUGGACUUGGCAGUCAAAUUAUUGAUAACUCAAUACAUACAUAUCAUCAAAUUCAACAAGCCGAAAGUUUUCCCGUUCCCGACAGUACAUAGAGAUCAUGUCAGGCUAUCACAGAUACGGAAAUAAAGUCGGCACUGGGUCACGAAUAAAUAGAUGAACUCAACAUUUUUUAAUAUUCAUGUUCAUGAUGUUGUGUUGUGUUGUGUUCUCGCAUCCGCCAGCAGCUGAAACCAAUAAAACAGUCGUUCGAAAUCACUUCA